This 2133-nucleotide ribosomal RNA is filed under the name Salmonella enterica subsp. enterica serovar Chester. Its description in RNAcentral is "partial 23S ribosomal RNA". It matches the Rfam family "Bacterial large subunit ribosomal RNA", at positions 689 to 2802 of the family's 2925-position model. Lineage: Bacteria; Pseudomonadati; Pseudomonadota; Gammaproteobacteria; Enterobacterales; Enterobacteriaceae. The record is from RNAcentral.
CGGGCGUUAAGUUGCAGGGUAUAGACCCGAAACCCGGUGAUCUAGCCAUGGGCAGGUUGAAGGUUGGGUAACACUAACUGGAGGACCGAACCGACUAAUGUUGAAAAAUUAGCGGAUGACCUGUGGCUGGGGGUGAAAGGCCAAUCAAACCGGGAGAUAGCUGGUUCUCCCCGAAAGCUAUUUAGGUAGCGCCUCGUGAAUUCAUCUCCGGGGGUAGAGCACUGUUUCGGCUAGGGGGCCAUCCCGGCUUACCAACCCGAUGCAAACUGCGAAUACCGGAGAAUGUUAUCACGGGAGACACACGGCGGGUGCUAACGUCCGUCGUGAAGAGGGAAACAACCCAGACCGCCAGCUAAGGUCCCAAAGUCAUGGUUAAGUGGGAAACGAUGUGGGAAGGCCCAGACAGCCAGGAUGUUGGCUUAGAAGCAGCCAUCAUUUAAAGAAAGCGUAAUAGCUCACUGGUCGAGUCGGCCUGCGCGGAAGAUGUAACGGGGCUAAACCAUGCACCGAAGCUGCGGCAGCGACGCUGAUGCGUUGUUGGGUAGGGGAGCGUUCUGUAAGCCUGCGAAGGUGGCCUGUGAGGGUUGCUGGAGGUAUCAGAAGUGCGAAUGCUGACAUAAGUAACGAUAAAGCGGGUGAAAAGCCCGCUCGCCGGAAGACCAAGGGUUCCUGUCCAACGUUAAUCGGGGCAGGGUGAGUCGACCCCUAAGGCGAGGCCGAAAGGCGUAGUCGAUGGGAAACGGGUUAAUAUUCCCGUACUUGGUGUUACUGCGAAGGGGGGACGGAGAAGGCUAUGUUGGCCGGGCGACGGUUGUCCCGGUUUAAGCGUGUAGGUGUGUGUUCCAGGUAAAUCCGGUUCACUUUAACACUGAGGCGUGAUGACGAGGCACUACGGUGCUGAAGCAACAAAUGCCCUGCUUCCAGGAAAAGCCUCUAAGCAUCAGGUAACAUCAAAUCGUACCCCAAACCGACACAGGUGGUCAGGUAGAGAAUACCAAGGCGCUUGAGAGAACUCGGGUGAAGGAACUAGGCAAAAUGGUGCCGUAACUUCGGGAGAAGGCACGCUGACACGUAGGUGAAGUGAUUUACUCAUGGAGCUGAAGUCAGUCGAAGAUACCAGCUGGCUGCAACUGUUUAUUAAAAACACAGCACUGUGCAAACACGAAAGUGGACGUAUACGGUGUGACGCCUGCCCGGUGCCGGAAGGUUAAUUGAUGGGGUCAGCGCAAGCGAAGCUCCUGAUCGAAGCCCCGGUAAACGGCGGCCGUAACUAUAACGGUCCUAAGGUAGCGAAAUUCCUUGUCGGGUAAGUUCCGACCUGCACGAAUGGCGUAAUGAUGGCCAGGCUGUCUCCACCCGAGACUCAGUGAAAUUGAACUCGCUGUGAAGAUGCAGUGUACCCGCGGCAAGACGGAAAGACCCCGUGAACCUUUACUAUAGCUUGACACUGAACAUUGAGCCUUGAUGUGUAGGAUAGGUGGGAGGCUUUGAAGUGUGGACGCCAGUCUGCAUGGAGCCGACCUUGAAAUACCACCCUUUAAUGUUUGAUGUUCUAACGUGGACCCGUGAUCCGGGUUGCGGACAGUGUCUGGUGGGUAGUUUGACUGGGGCGGUCUCCUCCUAAAGAGUAACGGAGGAGCACGAAGGUUGGCUAAUCCUGGUCGGACAUCAGGAGGUUAGUGCAAUGGCAUAAGCCAGCUUGACUGCGAGCGUGACGGCGCGAGCAGGUGCGAAAGCAGGUCAUAGUGAUCCGGUGGUUCUGAAUGGAAGGGCCAUCGCUCAACGGAUAAAAGGUACUCCGGGGAUAACAGGCUGAUACCGCCCAAGAGUUCAUAUCGACGGCGGUGUUUGGCACCUCGAUGUCGGCUCAUCACAUCCUGGGGCUGAAGUAGGUCCCAAGGGUAUGGCUGUUCGCCAUUUAAAGUGGUACGCGAGCUGGGUUUAGAACGUCGUGAGACAGUUCGGUCCCUAUCUGCCGUGGGCGCUGGAGAACUGAGGGGGGCUGCUCCUAGUACGAGAGGACCGGAGUGGACGCAUCACUGGUGUUCGGGUUGUCAUGCCAAUGGCACUGCCCGGUAGCUAAAUGCGGAAGAGAUAAGUGCUGAAAGCAUCUAAGCACGAAACUUGCCCCGA